UAAGGAAUAUUGGUCAAUGGACGCAAGUCUGAACCAGCCAUGCCGCGUGAAGGAUGAAGGUCCUCUGGAUUGUAAACUUCUUUUAUCUGGGACGAAAACGGGAUUUUUAUCUCAAUUGACGGUACCAGAGGAAUAAGCACCGGCUAACUCCGUGCCAGCAGCCGCGGUAAUACGGAGGGUGCGAGCGUUAUCCGGAUUUACUGGGUUUAAAGGGAGCGUAGGUGGGCUUAUAAGUCAGUGGUGAAAUCUCCGAGCUUAACUUGGAAACUGCCGUUGAUACUAUAGGUCUUGAAUUAUCUGGAGGUAAGCGGAAUAUGUCAUGUAGCGGUGAAAUGCUUAGAUAUGACAUAGAACACCAAUUGCGAAGGCAGCUUACUACAUAUAAAUUGACGCUGAGGCACGAAAGCGUGGGGAUCAAACA
This 421-nucleotide ribosomal RNA is filed under the name uncultured bacterium. Its description in RNAcentral is "bacterial SSU rRNA". It matches the Rfam family "Bacterial small subunit ribosomal RNA", at positions 355 to 774 of the family's 1533-position model. The record is from RNAcentral.